Molecule: long non-coding RNA, 1366 nt
Filed under: Patiria miniata (bat star)
Lineage: Eukaryota; Metazoa; Echinodermata; Asteroidea; Valvatida; Asterinidae
Description: uncharacterized LOC119735671, transcript variant X2
Source: RNAcentral
UGUUAAGUAAUAGUUUAAUGCCGUGCGCAUUAUUUGGUCUUUUGCUAUUUUGCCAUACUCGAGUUUUCUCCCGAGUUGAACAGCAGAAGGAGCAAUUUAAAGAAAAGGAAGAAUGGCACAAAGUCUAGCACUGUCCACUGUCAUUUGCUGUGAAUUGCUUGACUGCGGUUGAAAGCUUCAAAUGAUCAAGAAAUCACGGUGCAUAAUCUUUAGCGAAGAUUUAUUUCUAUUGUACAGAAAAACGAGAAUGCCGCACAGGCUAGCACUGUCCACUGUCACCUGCUGUGAUUUACUUGACUGCGGUUGAACACUUCAAAUGAUCAAGAUGUUGCAGUUCAUAAACUUCAGUGAAGAUGCGUUUCUGUUGUACAGAAACCAAGUCAGAAGCUGUUACCACAUACAUGUACGUGAAGAAAGCAUCUUAUUUUGAAAGCAGGGAUAUUUAGCCAGUGUUGAUCAGCUGUGACAAUGAUGGACCUAGCUGUAAAAAGAUAGACCUUAUGUCUUUCAAAUGAGAAGAAGAGCCUGUAAUAGUGCAAAUGGGUCCAAGUCAUCUCCUGAUCUGUUCUCCAAUUGAAUACUGCUGUCUGAAUGUGUUCACAGAAUGAAUGCGAACCACGGCCCUUGCACCAGGAUCUUGCAAAUACGUGAAACUGCCAAUUUCAACCAUUUCACCUGUGGAUAUUGGAUUAUGAAGGUCAAAGUUUGCUGGAGAAAUUCACCCAAUACAAAUUUUCAGAUCCAACAACUAAGAAACACUCUCUUGACGGUGGACACGUCAACCUUCACAAAUGACAAGGAGCAAAUUAUUUCGUUUUCUUUCGUUUUAUUUCUUUCAAUAUCUUUUAAAUCACUUUUAUCAACAUGAAUUUGUUUCGGAACAAUUACCCUUCUGGCAUCUAACAAUCCGUUUACCAUGGCAUCAAUAAGUUGGUUAUUGAAUUAAAAAAAAAAAAUUGCGAAAAAAAAAGAUUACAAAAACUUAAUAGUAUGGUAACAAUUUGAAACAUGAUUUUAAGUACAGCACGACUAUUUUUUAAGUUGAUGGCCAAAUUUGGGGUAGAAAACACCCGAUAUAAAAAGGUUGCUAUGCAUAAUGUGCAGUGAUCAUGCAACUCGUUAAAAAAUUUACAGCACACAGUAAGUACGUUUUGGAGAUUAAUGAGAAAAGUAAAAGAAAUUCUAUACAAUUUACAACCUUCUGGCUUGAUCAGUGCAAGUUUAAAGUUUCGUAUUAACAAAUUCUUUUACAAAAAAGCAUAUUUCUGUUUUCUACAGUACAACAGUAAGUUAUAGUCUGUGUCCACUUUAACAUAAAUUUGUGCAGUUACAAGAACGCAAAUAAAAAUAUGUGUAAAACAAUGUA